Molecule: non-coding RNA, 3078 nt
Organism: Aegilops tauschii subsp. strangulata
Lineage: Eukaryota; Viridiplantae; Streptophyta; Magnoliopsida; Poales; Poaceae
Source: RefSeq, a predicted model, not a curated record
GCACGAGCGAUUCCCUCCGUCCCUCCGUCCACGCCGCUUACGAUCCAGGAAGGCAGUAGGGGCGUGCGAGGGGAAUACGCCCCAGCCGCCAUAGUGGAGCCCUAUACCGCCGCCGAGAUCCGACAAGAGCCGCCGCCGCCGGGGUUCAAGAGGAACCGGCCACCACGACCUCCCUCCCUAGCCGACCGCCACCCACCUCCCCGGGCAGCCAUGUACAGCGGGGCGGCGACCACGUGCCUGGCAUAGGUGGGUCUCGGCCUCCCUCCUCCCUUCGUCCAAGGCUAGGAACUUCCCUCCCCUACCCGAUCUCCUCCCUUCAUCCAAGGCCACGAUCUCCCCUCCCCUACCCGAUCUCCUCCCUUCAUCCAAGGCCACGAUCUCCCCUCCCCUACCCGAUCUGACGGAGAGAGGGCCAGGCCUUGCCACUCCGGUGUUCGAUGUGGCCAGAUCUGGCCGGGGGACUCGCCGCAGAGCCUCCAUGUCGGCGGAACAGCAGCAGCCCGACAGAAGGAUUCAGAUUUAUGGCAGGGACACAAUCAAAUUUAUACCAUACGUUGUGAUGAUACAAGGAAAGUAAACAUAGAUGCAUAUUUUGUUCAACGUGACGAUACAAGGGAGAGUUGGCCUACGUCGCCAACUGAUCUGCGGCAGCGUGGAAGGAGAGUUCAAAAGCACCAGGAGCGGCUGUUCUACUGCUGGUCGGAGGGAGAGCUUGGCAAGGGAGACAGAGGGAGCUCUACAACCACGAUCUUGGCAUACAACCCGAUGGCAUCAUGUCCACAUUAUAUAUUCUUCGGUAAUAUGUAAAGCCUAAGUGAGAGACACAAUGUCUUGAUUGUAGUCUUGCAGACUCCAUAUUUUUCAGCACGUACGUUCGCAAAAAAAAUUGAUCUCAGCAGGUUGGUGUUCAUGUACACGUUGCCAUUUGAGAAUAUACUGUGUAUUACUCAAAUCUCAAAACAAAUGGCCCAUUCUGACCAGACCAUAACUAUUCCGAAAGCAUUGAUAGGCUUUUUUAAACAUCAAGAUAUCUGAAUAUUUAUCUUAGCAGUGUCCAAAAACCAAAUGGUUAUGUUUGUUCAGAUUUUCCUCAUUUUUAUGUUCUUUGAAUUAUAGUGCUUGAGGUUAAUAAUAAAUGAUUGUUGGUAACUUAACUAGCUCUUGAGAAUAAUGUGUGAUAUAGGUUGCUCCUAUAUGUGUCAUUGACUAUGUUGCUUGUGGAGAGUAAUAAGGAUUUAUCUAGCUCAUGUACAUCUGAGCCUGAGACGGAGAGGACGACUGUCGUGGCUCCAUUGAUGAUAGUGGUUGCGACGCAGAGCCGUACGAAUGGACAACAAGCAAGCCAAGCACUCCCUGGGAAUCGCCGUGAUUCUGAAACGGGUGGCGGGUCCCUGCCUCUACCGCCCAUGAAGCUGACAACGAUCACGUGGUCGUCGUGCGACGACUGCGGAGGGGGGAGGGGGGCAGGCAGGGGGAGACUUAUAGGCGAGAACCUGCACGGAGGAGGAAGGAGACGCCUCAGGUGGAGAUGAUGACGACGACCGUGCCCCAUCACUAGCGGCGGUCACGACGUGCAGCUGCAGGACUAGAGAUCAUACAGAGUUGGAAUCUCAGAGCUACACAUUCAACCGGCUUGCUUUGAAAAUCGAGUAAAACUAAAGGAAUAGAGGUUUCAAAUGCAACAAGAGUUUAAUAGUGCUACAGAUAUGUGGAGCGGGCAAGAAUAGUUGGUCAGCCUUUAGUAACUACUAUUGAUGUUACUCCAGAUGCAAGUUUCUUGCAUGAAGCUGACUGUUGUUUAUUAUUUUUCUUCAUGCCAUAUUUCUUUGAGAUCUCCAAAUUAUCCCAGACUUGCUUCAUACUUUGGUGCCAUCUGCAUUACUGCAUAUACUAUUCACUAUUCAGACUGGCUCUGGAGCAAACUGCGUAGCAAGAUCAAUAAUGAAUGGUUCAAGUCAUGUAUUACAAGUUACAAUGAGCAGGAGGUAGUCAAGUCAGUUGAUGAUAAGGAUAUUAUUCGAACAUUUACUGCAAUGACGUCUCGGAAAGGGCAUUUGCCUUGUGAUUGUCUUUAGUGCGCUAUUGGUAUUCGUGCCUUCUAUGAUUUUGGCAACAUGGCGAGCUUGCAGCAGGGGUCAGAGAAGGGCGCGUUGUGACGGACCUCCGCUCCUCUGCGGAUGCCUAAGCAGCGAUGAGACGCUUCACGGAAUCGAGUCUAUGAGUCUCUCUGCAUGCGCUGCGGCGAGAGUAUAAGUGCCUUGAUCUGUGGCACAGCUCCUAACCCCAUUCCCUUUGGUUUCGGCUUGACUCAUUGUGAAUUCUGAUGCGUACUUUCUUUUGGUCAGGGCACCAUGAGGUUGCUGCUGACUACGAUUCCCAACUUCCAGGAGAUAAGGUCGUUGUGAUGGCUUUUGAAUGCCCGCAAUGUAAUGAAAGAUAAUUGACGGGAAGGAGCUCCUGAUGGGAAGGACAUACACUGACAAUCAUCAUGUGAAGAAGGCUGUUACUACAGUUGAAGCGCCAAGCAAGAUUCCGUAAUGGGAAAUCUGCAAGUUCUAAACCAUCUCUGAUUUGAGUAGGUCAAGCAAUUGAAUGAUUGGAAAUAUGUAACUACAUUACCAUCUCGGACUAAUCAACCAUUUGAAAGACAUUAUGUGCUCGGGGAGCAAAAACUUUUGGGCAGACACCUUGGUGGUUUUUUCGUACUAUUAAGGAGGCACCAUUGCAACCUGAACAAGGUUUGUGAGCACCUAGCUUAAUCCUUCUGUAUGGAUCCUACAAGCAGAAGUCAUCCACAUCACGUUUUAAUAUUCUGGAGUAUUAUUUCAUCCCUAGCUCCACUUGCUGCUCAAAACCUGUGCAUACCAUAGUUUGACAACCAGCAGACCCCUAGAAUCUGUUGCACAUGGAGUGAGCUACCAAAUAGACAUGUAACAAAAACAAUAUUUUCUUUCAUCUUGAUAUAAAUAUAAUUGUGCUAUUGGGUCUUUAGUGGAAUAGAUGUGCAAAGCAACAAUUAUAUACCUUGUCAACGGAAGUACCUUGUUCAAUAUAGAAUACUCUAAAUUUUGAACCGUA